Molecule: transfer RNA, 72 nt
Filed under: Sinocyclocheilus longibarbatus
Lineage: Eukaryota; Metazoa; Chordata; Actinopteri; Cypriniformes; Cyprinidae
Description: tRNA-Leu
Source: RNAcentral
GCUUUCAAAGGAUAACAGCCAUCCGUUGGUCUUAGGAACCAAAAACUCUUGGUGCAAGCCCAAGUGAAAGCU